This 492-nucleotide ribosomal RNA is filed under the name uncultured Aquicella sp. Its description in RNAcentral is "bacterial SSU rRNA". It matches the Rfam family "Bacterial small subunit ribosomal RNA", at positions 8 to 491 of the family's 1533-position model. Lineage: Bacteria; Pseudomonadati; Pseudomonadota; Gammaproteobacteria; Legionellales; Coxiellaceae. The record is from RNAcentral.
AGAGUUUGAUCCUGGCUCAGAUUGAACGCUGGCGGCACGCUUAACACAUGCAAGUCGAGCGGUAGCAUGACGAGUAGCAAUACUCGUUGAUGACGAGCGGCGGACGGGUGAGGAAGACGUAGGAAUCUGCCCAGAAGAGGGGGACAACCAAGGGAAACUUUGGCUAAUACCGCGUAAACUCGAGAGAGGAAAGUUGCCUGCAAGGGUGACACUUUUGGAGGAGCCUGCGUCCGAUUAGCUAGUUGGUGAGGUAAGAGCUCACCAAGGCGAUGAUCGGUAACUGGUCUGAGAGGACGACCAGUCACACUGGGACUGAGACACGGCCCAGACUCCUACGGGAGGCAGCAGUGGGGAAUCUUGGACAAUGGGGGCAACCCUGAUCCAGCGAUGCCGCGUGGGUGAAGAAGGCCUUCGGGUUGUAAAGCCCUUUAGGUCGGGAAGAAGCGUAUGGAGUGAUAAGCUUUAUACGUUGACGGUACCGACAGAAUAAGA